This 69-nucleotide transfer RNA is filed under the name Ochthebius uniformis. Its description in RNAcentral is "tRNA-Met". It matches the Rfam family "tRNA". Rfam says of the family: Transfer RNA (tRNA) molecules are approximately 80 nucleotides in length. Their secondary structure includes four short double-helical elements and three loops (D, anti-codon, and T loops). The record is from RNAcentral. Lineage: Eukaryota; Metazoa; Arthropoda; Insecta; Coleoptera; Hydraenidae.
AAAAAGAUAAGCUAAUUAAGCUAAUGGGUUCAUACCCCUUUUAUAAAGGUUUCAAUCCUUUUCUUUUUA